RNAcentral lists this ribosomal RNA (253 nucleotides) under uncultured bacterium. Its description in RNAcentral is "partial 16S ribosomal RNA". It matches the Rfam family "Bacterial small subunit ribosomal RNA", at positions 524 to 776 of the family's 1533-position model. The record is from RNAcentral.
UACAGAGGGGGCAAGCGUUGUUCGGAAUUACUGGGCGUAAAGGGCGCGUAGGCGGCCUUCUAAGUCGAACGUGAAAUCCCCGGGCUCAACCCGGGAACUGCGUCCGAUACUGGAAGGCUUGAAUCCGGGAGAGGGUAGUGGAAUUCCCGGUGUAGUGGUGAAAUGCGUAGAUAUCGGGAGGAACACCAGUGGCGAAGGCGACUACCUGGCCCAUUCUUGACGCUGAGGCGCGAAAGCUAGGGGAGCGAACGGG